Long non-coding RNA from Symsagittifera roscoffensis, 381 nucleotides. RefSeq lists it as uncharacterized. NCBI's taxonomy places the organism in Eukaryota, Metazoa, Xenacoelomorpha, Acoela, Convolutidae. The record is from RefSeq and is a predicted model, not a curated record. The transcript has 3 exons.
AUUGAAUAUCGGUGUUAGACAAAAUUGGCGAUAUUAUAUAGAUUAAAAAGUUAUCGCACGUAACUUAGUAAAAGUUAUCGCACUUAGUAAACUAUUACAUCUACAUGCCUACUGAGAGAACAAACCAGUCCAACUUAUAAACCACCUCCACCAAAAAAUGGCUCAAAAUCACCCUGCAAGAUGCUCGAUUUCAUUAAACACAUUGGCAUUUUUGAUAGCUUAUGUAUCUUUAUGCAUCAUAGCUCCAUCAGCUGAAGCUAGAGGCUAUCCCCUGCAACCGGACUACAUGCCAACUGCUUUUGACCAGGGCCAACUACUAACACUUGUGCCAUCUGGACCCUACAUGGCCGAGCCAAACUACGUGCCCUACAUGAAUUAUCA